CCUACGGGAGGCAGCAGUGAGGAAUAUUGGUCAAUGGACGAGAGUCUGAACCAGCCAAGUAGCGUGAAGGAUGACUGCCCUAUGGGUUGUAAACUUCUUUUAUAUGGGAAUAAAAUGUUCCACGUGUGGGAUUUUGUAUGUCCCAUAUGAAUAAGGAUCGGCUAACUCCGUGCCAGCAGCCGCGGUAAUACGGAGGAUCCGAGCGUUAUCCGGAUUUCUUGGGUUUAAAGGGAGCGUAGGUGGAUUGUUAAGUCAGUUGUGAAAGUUUGCGGCUCAACCGUAAAAUUGCAGUUGAAACUGGCAGUCUUGAGUACAGUAGAGGUGGGCGGAAUUCGUGGUGUAGCGGUGAAAUGCUUAGAUAUCACGAAGAACUCCGAUUGCGAAGGCAGCUCACUGGACUGCAACUGACACUGAGGCUCGAAAGUGUGGGUAUCAAACAGGAUUAGAUACCCGGGUAGUC
This 460-nucleotide ribosomal RNA is filed under the name uncultured bacterium. RNAcentral's name for it is "partial 16S ribosomal RNA". It matches the Rfam family "Bacterial small subunit ribosomal RNA", at positions 338 to 795 of the family's 1533-position model. The record is from RNAcentral.